AAGGGCACCACAAGAACGCGUGGAGCAUGUGGCUUAAUUUGACCCAACGCGGGAAAUGUUACCGGGUCCGGACACACUGAGGAUUGACAGGCAAUCAUGUGAACAGCUUUUUGACUAGAAUUUUUUGAUUUUAGUUUUAAGAGGCGUUCUCAUAUAAAUAUGCUAGUCCUUUCAUGAUUAUGUGAUAGGUGGUGCAUGGCCGUUCUUAGUUCGUGGAGUGAUCUGUCUGCUUAAUUGCGUUUCGCAAUGGACUUAAUAACAAGUUGCGCUCUUCUUUUCUUUGUGGACAUUUUGCCUUGUUCUUUGCAUUUGAGUUGCUUUUAGUGAGUUUUAACGUUUUUAGUUUGUUUUACCCCAGUUUCGGCUGCGCGCGUAACUUUCUUUUUUAAACUAUUGCUUCAAGUUUUAAUUUAUUUGUGAGGGGCUCAUGGUGAAAUUCUGCUAUUUAUUGGGAGAGGAUUAGUGCACAUUGAGUCCUGAAAGCAACGAACGUGACCGCAUCCUUUUGUUGCCUUCUAACUAAACUAUUAAGCUUUAAAUUUCUUUUUUCAUUAAGAGAUUUUUUUAGCCAGUUUUAACAAAGUAGGCUCUAUUCUCUUCAUUAAAAACAGGGGAAUAAAACUAAAGGGACCGCUGCGACUUUUUUUAAACCAGAGAAGGUUGCGGCAAUAACAGGUCUGUGAUGCCCUUAGAUGAUUCCGGGCUGCACACGUGCUACAAUGAUUAUUGCAGUAAGCAUCUCAUUUCAAAAACGCUGUUAUUUAUAGAUUUUUCGUAGCUUUCUUUUUUCUAUAUGGACUUUAUUGUCUGUGUGGAGAGGGGAAGGUUAUGGAUAUUUUACAAUCAGUAAAUUCCAGCUUAGCCUGCUUCGAAAGUUAGCAGGUAAUCACUUGGAAGUAAUGAUUUCCCUUAUAUCAAAAUUUAUUUUUUGGUUUUGCGAGCACACAAUGUGCUGCUCUCUGUCUUGCUUGGGUAGCAAUUACGUCUACUUUUUAGCUAUACGGCAGAGAUGUUCCUGACUUUUUUUAUAAACAAAAAAACAAGGAAUUUACAGUGCGUGCUUUUUGUCAAUUCAUGGUGGGGACAGACCAUUGUUAAUUAUUGGUCUCGGUCUUAACUAGGAAUGCCUUGUACGGGUCUUUGGUUCAACAAACCACCCGGAAUACGUCCCUGCCCUUUGUACACACCGCCCGUCGCUCUUACCGAUGGACUUCUCUGUGAGUUUGAGGGACUGGGUACCUUAGCUUUGUCGGUUAGGCGGUUUUUAUUAACUGCUUCUGACACUAUAAACACUUAUGGAAACUUAAACGAACAGUGUGGUCUAAAGGAAAGAGAAGUCGUAACAAGGCAUCNGUAGGUGAACCU
RNAcentral lists this ribosomal RNA (1365 nucleotides) under Toxisarcon alba. RNAcentral's name for it is "partial 18S ribosomal RNA". It matches the Rfam family "Eukaryotic small subunit ribosomal RNA", at positions 1160 to 1816 of the family's 1831-position model. Lineage: Eukaryota; Foraminifera. The record is from RNAcentral.